Molecule: long non-coding RNA, 287 nt
Filed under: Mytilus galloprovincialis (Mediterranean mussel)
Lineage: Eukaryota; Metazoa; Mollusca; Bivalvia; Mytilida; Mytilidae
Source: RNAcentral
AAAACAUCCUGUUACAAGUAAACAAAUAACGUUCAUGUGGAUGAGAUGAAAUCUAAUAAUUUACAUAAAUAAAAGGGUCAUAUUUACGAUAGUGAUUGUUUUACAAUCAUAAUUUACAAAUUAAAUGAUUCAGAUGCCUAAUCAUGUGUAAAAAUCGGUGUCAGGAAUCUUAAGUUGUUUUGAAAUUGUAAUACACGAAAUGAAUGCGGCAUACGGAGACUCAAUGCCAAUGGUCAGCCCCUUAAGUCUUCAGAAGACUUGACGUCUUCUUCCACUAAAAAACAUUU